ACCCAGCACAUCCACACUCUUGCAUCAAAGGUGCAAGGACUUGCUCACAUCGAGAAUCUGGUUGCUUUCUUGGAGACCAAGAAAAUGAGUUUUUGUUUCUACAUUUACUCCAGCAAUCCAUGAGACAGUAGCCAUGUGUGUUGGAUUUUACCAGGUUUCUUCUCUACUGUGCCUUCAUCCCCACCCUGGGCCCUGACAGAGACAGUGUGACAAGUUCUGAGCCCCACAGGUGGAAUCCCAAACCAAGCAGCUCUUGCUGGUCACCCCAAGGUCUACUUAUACAUGAAGGUUUGAAAAUCAUCUCCUGAACCUCUUCUGACAGAGAUCAGGGUGUUGACAGAAAGUAUGCUCAAACAUCUUCGGAAAUGGGUCGUCACUCGUUUUUUUGGUCAUUCUCGGCAAAGAACAAGGCUAGUCUCCAAAGAUGGAAGGUGCAACAUAGAAUUUGGCAAUGUGGAAGCACAGUCAAGGUUUAUAUUCUUUGUGGACAUCUGGACAACGGUACUUGACCUCAAAUGGAGAUAC
RNAcentral lists this small RNA (525 nucleotides) under Pongo abelii (Sumatran orangutan). RNAcentral's name for it is "retained intron". The record is from RNAcentral. Lineage: Eukaryota; Metazoa; Chordata; Mammalia; Primates; Hominidae.